CCUACGGGUGGCAGCAGUGAGGAAUAUUGGUCAAUGGGCGCGAGCCUGAACCAGCCAAGUAGCGUGAAGGAUGACUGCCCUCCGGGUUGUAAACUUCUUUUAUAAAGGAAUAAAGUGAGGCACGUGUGCCUUUUUGUAUGUCCUUUUUGAAUAAGGAUCGGCGAACUCCGUGCCAGCCGCCGCGGUAAUACGGAGGAUCCGAGCGUUAUCAGGAUUUAUUGGGUGUAAAGGGAGCGUAGAUGGGUUGUUAAGUCAGUUGUGAAAGUUUGCGGCUCAACCGUAAAAUUGCAAUUGAUACUGGCAGGCUUGAGUACAGUUGAGGUAGGCGGAAUUCGUGGUGUAGCGGUGAAAUGCGUAGAUAUCACGAAGAACUCCGAUUGCGAAGGCAGCUUACUAAACUGCCACUGACAUUGAUGCUCGAAAGUGUGGGUAGCAAACAGGAGUAGAUACCCGAGUAGUC
RNAcentral lists this ribosomal RNA (460 nucleotides) under uncultured bacterium. RNAcentral's name for it is "partial 16S ribosomal RNA". It matches the Rfam family "Bacterial small subunit ribosomal RNA", at positions 338 to 795 of the family's 1533-position model. The record is from RNAcentral.